ACAAACUCACACUAACAGACACACACACACAGUCAGACACACACUCACUGACACACAGUCAGACACACACAUACACACUCACUAGCACACACUCACUAGCACACACACUCACAUUCACUGACAGAUCCGCAUACACUCGCUAACAGAAACACACACACUCACUGACACACACACACAGUCAGACACACACACACUCACUGACACACAGUCACACACACACACUAACAGACAAACAGUCAGACACACACACUAACAGACACACACUCACUAGCAGACACACACACAAACUCUCACACACUAAC
Non-coding RNA from Pelobates cultripes (western spadefoot toad), 302 nucleotides. NCBI's taxonomy places the organism in Eukaryota, Metazoa, Chordata, Amphibia, Anura, Pelobatidae. The record is from the annotation of a GenBank genome assembly.